Long non-coding RNA from Tachysurus fulvidraco (yellow catfish), 2396 nucleotides. RefSeq lists it as uncharacterized. The record is from RefSeq and is a predicted model, not a curated record. NCBI's taxonomy places the organism in Eukaryota, Metazoa, Chordata, Actinopteri, Siluriformes, Bagridae. The transcript has 4 exons.
CUCUCUCUCUCUCUCUCUCUCUUCCGCCGUCUCUUUCACGUUAUGUGUCGUUUCAGACGAAACUGGCGAGAGCUCGUACGUCAGUAUUUACGUGUGAAGUGUGGAAGUGGGAUGGAUCGGUGAAGCCACAAGUCUGAGAGGAGGCACAAAGCGAUUCAAACCGCAGAAGCUCCCUCGACUGUGCCAGGAGAUUAAAGGAAAACAGAUUACGCCGGACAGCAGGCAGAGGCUUAAACUGGACUCGCAGAAGAUUGGGAAGGUUAUUAACGAACUUCUUGGACUGUAUCUCCUACUGCUGCACAAAAGCUGCCACACAGUCCAAGCUGACAGCCGUUGUUAAUGUCAGUUCCUAAUGGCAAGAGGAGCCAGGACAACAUUCUAGAACAUUAUCCUGACCUAUGCUCUCACAUGGGCCAAAUCAUACCAACGUCGAUGUUAGAGGUAUGGAGGUUGCUGUAAUGAGUCUGUGGGAGGAUUUCAGCCAUCUUCCUGUUUGGUUCACGCGUGAAGCCGCGUACAAAGCUGGAGUGUGCACUAUUUGUUCUGUCAGGAUGGAACAAUGGAAAAAUGGGGUCAGAGGGCACCACGAAUCCAUUACGCUAGGCCGUCUCCAUGCUCAGCCGGUGCUGAGGGAUGAACAUAAAUCUGAGGAUGGCUUCUGCAGACACUGCAGAGGAAAACGAGAGAAAGACAGAAAGAGAGACAGACGGAAUGGACAGAUUUCUUGCUGGAGAUUUUAGAGUGCUGAGAGACAGAUAAAGAGUAAGACAUAGUGUGAAGCUGUGUGUGUGAGAGAGAGAGGGAGAGGGAGAGAGAGAAGGAACUGAGCUCUCAUGAGUAAUAUGGUACCUAGAGGACUGGUGACAAAAGCAGACACAGGCAUUCGUGUCACCAUGAGCCGAUUAGAGUCUCAGAGGAGAGGCUUAAACCUCCUCCAUCGCUCUCUCCUGACGCUUUCGCUCAUACACCAGCCCUGUUCUCAAGAGUAAACCUCUCGCUUCAUUCCUUUGUCUGCUACUGGAGGAAUUUAUUAUUCAUCUUUUUGGGUGUUUCAUGACACAGCACACAUUUAUCUGCGUUACAAAAUUCUCAAAUGAACAAAUACUCAAUCAAACCAGUUCUUGCAAACUUAAUUUCUUAAAUCAGCCCUAAAUGAUGAGUCACAUGGACUAACAAAUGAACCAAUGAACGAUCAGAUAACUAACACUUGAAUGUGUAAAAUCUCCAUAUUAUGUUUUGUCCUGAAAUGAAAGGAACAAUGUGAUUUUUACACAUGAUUUAUUUUUCCACAAUUCAUUUAUAUUUCUAUUAUUUCAGAUGAAUCAAUUAUUGCCUCAUGCUAUUUCCGCACGAUUUUUCUUAACAUUACUGUAUUAUUAUUUUCUUUUCCCUUGAUUAUUUUUUUACUUGUGAUUUUUGUACACGGUUCAUUUAUUUUCACAGAAUUUUACGCAUGAUUGCACAUGUGUUUGUUAUUAAACACCGCGACAUUCGCUUUCAAUUUCACAGUGAAUUUCACCUUGUCCUUUGCAUGAGAUCAUAAUAUUCCCAUUUAUCUGUUAGGGAACUUAAAGUAUACAUUUAAAAAAUUUUUUUUCAUGAACUUGCAUGUACGGUAUAUGAAUACAGACUCGAUCCAACAUUAAAUAUAGAAACGCACCAAAUAAAUACCUGAAGGAAUUUUUUUAACCUUCAUGUUCUUGUCACAGCCAUUAAAAUUGACAUUUGUUAUUCAUUUUUAGUAAUCUCAAGAAACCAAGACAAAAAAUAUGAAGAAUACAGAAUAACUGCUCUGCUUUAAAGUAUAUAGCAUUUUUUUUCCUUCACUUAAUUCAUGUGAAUUUUGCACACAGUUAAUUUAUUUUCACAGGAUUUCACAAGAAUUGAUUUCUAAUAGCUGUAAAUGAAAUGAAUAGCAAGAGGAAGCUCAUAAAACUAAAAUGUACUUAAGUACAAUAACACUUCCCAUCAUAAAAAAAAAGAAUAAACAGUCAGUCGCUGCAUAAAUACCUUUUUUUUUUUACAGAAUGUUCAAAAAAUCAGGGGUCUCCUUUAGAGGUGUGAGGCUUGGAGAUGUAAAGCAAGAACGAAUCUCAUCGAUCACAUCUGAUGAAGUGACAUUGAUCGACUUAUUGAUCCUCUCCAUCUGAGCCACUGUGGAAAGCUUUGUUCUCUCUUCAGUAAUCCAGUACUGUGUGUAUGUGUGUGUGUGUGUGUGUGUGUGUGUGUGUGUGUGUGUGUGUGUGUGUGUGUGUGUGUGUGUGUGUGUGUGUGUGUAGAGGGACAGGAUGUGCUGCCAUUUACUGCACCAACCAGUUUUCACUCAGUCACAAAUAUGAAUUGCAUUUCAGAGUAAAUCAAGUUCAGUGCAAAAGUUUGUGCACCCCUUAGGAAAA